Molecule: ribosomal RNA, 1223 nt
Filed under: metagenome
Description: bacterial SSU rRNA
Rfam family: Bacterial small subunit ribosomal RNA
Source: RNAcentral
AGAGUUUGAUCCUGGCUCAGGAUGAACGCUAGCUACAGGCUUAACACAUGCAAGUCGAGGGGAAACGAUAUUGGAAGCUUGCUUCCGAUAGGCGUCGACCGGCGCACGGGUGAGUAACGCGUAUCCAACCUGCCCACCACUUGGGGAUAACCUUGCGAAAGUAAGACUAAUACCCAAUGAUAUCUCUAGAAGACAUCUGAAAGAUAUUAAAGAUUUAUCGGUGAUGGAUGGGGAUGCGUCUGAUUAGCUUGUUGGCGGGGUAACGGCCCACCAAGGCAACGAUCAGUAGGGGUUCUGAGAGGAAGGUCCCCCACAUUGGAACUGAGACACGGUCCAAACUCCUACGGGAGGCAGCAGUGAGGAAUAUUGGUCAAUGGACGAGAGUCUGAACCAGCCAAGUAGCGUGCAGGAAGACGGCCCUAUGGGUUGUAAACUGCUUUUAUAAGGGAAUAAAGUGAGAGUCGUGACUCUUUUUGCAUGUACCUUAUGAAUAAGGACCGGCUAAUUCCGUGCCAGCAGCCGCGGUAAUACGGAAGGUCCGGGCGUUAUCCGGAUUUAUUGGGUUUAAAGGGAGCGUAGGCCGGAGAUUAAGCGUGUUGUGAAAUGUAGACGCUCAACGUCUGCACUGCAGCGCGAACUGGUUUCCUUGAGUACGCACAAAGUGGGCGGAAUUCGUGGUGUAGCGGUGAAAUGCUUAGAUAUCACGAAGAACUCCGAUUGCGAAGGCAGCUCACUGGAGCGCAACUGACGCUGAAGCUCGAAAGUGCGGGUAUCGAACAGGAUUAGAUACCCUGGUAGUCCGCACGGUAAACGAUGGAUGCCCGCUGUUGGUCUGAAUAGGUCAGCGGCCAAGCGAAAGCAUUAAGCAUCCCACCUGGGGAGUACGCCGGCAACGGUGAAACUCAAAGGAAUUGACGGGGGCCCGCACAAGCGGAGGAACAUGUGGUUUAAUUCGAUGAUACGCGAGGAACCUUACCCGGGCUUGAAUUGCAGAGGAAGGAUUUGGAGACAAUGACGCCCUUCGGGGCCUCUGUGAAGGUGCUGCAUGGUUGUCGUCAGCUCGUGCCGUGAGGUGUCGGCUUAAGUGCCAUAACGAGCGCAACCCCUCUCCUUAGUUGCCAUCAGGUUAAGCUGGGCACUCUGGGGACACUGCCACCGUAAGGUGUGAGGAAGGUGGGGAUGACGUCAAAUCAGCACGGCCCUUACGUCCGGGGCUGCACACG